CCUACGGGAGGCAGCAGUGAGGAAUAUUGGCCAAUGGGCGGGAGCCUGAACCAGCCAAGCCGCGUGAGGGAAGAAGGUACAGCGUAUCGUAAACCUCUUUUGUCAGGGGACAAAGGCGGGGACUAGUCCACGGAUGAGGGUACCUGAAGAAAAAGCAUCGGCUAACUCCGUGCCAGCAGCCGCGGUAAUACGGAGGAUGCGAGCGUUAUCCGGAUUUAUUGGGGUUAAGGGGUGCGCAGGGGGCAUGUUAAGUCAGCGGUAAAAGCCCGGGGCUCAAACCCGGCGAGCCGGUGAAACUGGCGGGCUGGAGUUGGUGAGAGGUACGCGGAAUGCGCGGUGUAGCGGUGAAAUGCGUAGAUAUC
Molecule: ribosomal RNA, 362 nt
Filed under: uncultured bacterium
Lineage: Bacteria
Description: partial 16S ribosomal RNA
Rfam family: Bacterial small subunit ribosomal RNA
Source: RNAcentral